Molecule: ribosomal RNA, 253 nt
Filed under: uncultured bacterium
Lineage: Bacteria
Description: partial 16S ribosomal RNA
Rfam family: Bacterial small subunit ribosomal RNA
Source: RNAcentral
UACGUAGGUGGCAAGCGUUGUCCGGAUUUACUGGGCGUAAAGAGCGCGCAGGCGGUUGAAUAAGUCGAAUGUGAAAGCCCCCGGCUCAACUGGGGAGGGUCAUUCGAUACUGUUCGACUCGAAGGCAGGAGAGGGAAGCGGAAUUCCCGGUGUAGUGGUGAAAUGCGUAGAUAUCGGGAGGAACACCAGUGGCGAAGGCGGCUUUCUGGCCUGUUCUUGACGCUGAGGCGCGAAAGCCAGGGGAGCAAACGGG